AGAAGCGUCCUCAGCGACG
This 19-nucleotide small nuclear RNA is filed under the name Arabidopsis thaliana (thale cress). RNAcentral describes it as "snRNA_15539". The record is from RNAcentral. Lineage: Eukaryota; Viridiplantae; Streptophyta; Magnoliopsida; Brassicales; Brassicaceae.